UGACUGCUAUCGGAUUGAUACUAAGCCAUGCGAGUCAUUGUAGCAAUACAAGGCAUACGGCUCAGUAACGCGUAGUCAACCUAACCUAUGGACGGGAAUAACCCCGGGAAACUGAGAAUAAUGCCCGAUAGAACACUAUACCUGGAAUGGUUUGUGUUCCAAAUGAUUUAUCGCCAUAGGAUGGGACUGCGGCCUAUCAGUUUGUUGGUGAGGUAAUGGCCCACCAAGACUAUUACAGGUACGGGCUCUGAGAGGAGUAGCCCGGAGAUGGGUACUGAGACACGGACCCAGGCCCUAUGGGGCGCAGCAGGCGAGAAAACUUUGCAAUGUGCGAAAGCACGUCAAGGUUAAUCCGAGUGAUUUGUGCUAAACGAAUCUUUUGUUAGUCCUAGAGACACUAACGAAUAAGGGGUGGGC
RNAcentral lists this ribosomal RNA (417 nucleotides) under uncultured crenarchaeote DS-5_1. RNAcentral's name for it is "bacterial SSU rRNA". It matches the Rfam family "Archaeal small subunit ribosomal RNA", at positions 24 to 447 of the family's 1478-position model. Lineage: Archaea; Thermoproteati; Thermoproteota. The record is from RNAcentral.